This is a non-coding RNA of Oryctolagus cuniculus (rabbit), 331 nucleotides long. The record is from RefSeq and is a predicted model, not a curated record. Lineage: Eukaryota; Metazoa; Chordata; Mammalia; Lagomorpha; Leporidae.
AAAUCAAUCCUGUUGUUCUAUAGACACAUGUCAGGCUCUGUGUACACUUACGUUUGUUUAUAUUGUAGAUAAAAUUUGCCAGAUGGGAAAAAUCCAUUGGCGCUGCGGAGCCGGAGAGUUGGCCUGGUGGAAGUGAUCAGACGAUACCUUCCAUAGAAUGCCACCAUAAAUAACCAAGACUCACCAGUGACCUCCAGACUACACUGCUGUGGAUCAUAUAUCUGCUAGUUUUCCCACCCAAAAUCUGGAUAAGAAUGCUGCAACAAUGUCAAGAACAUCCAUGGCUGGUUUAAAGACCCUUUGUAAGUGAAAGUGAAAAAUCCAAUAAAUA